AACGAACGCUGGCGGCAUGCCUAACACAUGCAAGUCGAACGAGACCUUCGGGUCUAGUGGCGCACGGGUGCGUAACGCGUGGGAACCUGCCCUUAGGUUCGGAAUAACUCCCCGAAAGGGGUGCUAAUACCGGAUAAUGUCUUCGGACCAAAGAUUUAUCGCCUUUGGAUGGGCCCGCGUUGGAUUAGCUAGUUGGUAGGGUAAAAGCCUACCAAGGCGACGAUCCAUAGCUGGUCUGAGAGGAUGAUCAGCCACACUGGGACUGAGACACGGCCCAGACUCCUACGGGGGGCAGCAGUGGGGAAUAUUGGACAAUGGGCGAAAGCCUGAUCCAGCAAUGCCGCGUGAGUGAUGAAGGCCUUAGGGUUGUAAAGCUCUUUGACCCGGGAUGAUAAUGACAGUACCGGGAGAAUAAGCUCCGGCUAACUCC
Molecule: ribosomal RNA, 430 nt
Filed under: uncultured bacterium
Lineage: Bacteria
Description: partial 16S ribosomal RNA
Rfam family: Bacterial small subunit ribosomal RNA
Source: RNAcentral